UGAGGAAUAUUGGUCAAUGGGCGAGAGUCUGAACCAGCCAAGUAGCGUGAAGGAUGACUGCCCUAUGGGUUGUAAACUUCUUUUAUAAAGGAAUAAAGUCGGGUAUGCAUACCCGUUUGCAUGUACUUUAUGAAUAAGGAUCGGCUAACUCCGUGCCAGCAGCCGCGGUAAUACGGAGGAUCCGAGCGUUAUCCGGAUUUAUUGGGUUUAAAGGGAGCGUAGAUGGAUGUUUAAGUCAGUUGUGAAAGUUUGCGGCUCAACCGUAAAAUUGCAGUUGAUACUGGAUAUCUUGAGUGCAGUUGAGGCAGGCGGAAUUCGUGGUGUAGCGGUGAAAUGCUUAGAUAUCACGAAGAACUCCGAUUUGCGAAGGCAGCCUGCUAAGCUGCAACUGACAUUGAGGCUCG
Molecule: ribosomal RNA, 404 nt
Filed under: uncultured Bacteroides sp.
Lineage: Bacteria; Pseudomonadati; Bacteroidota; Bacteroidia; Bacteroidales; Bacteroidaceae
Description: bacterial SSU rRNA
Rfam family: Bacterial small subunit ribosomal RNA
Source: RNAcentral